GUCGCAAGACCAAAGUGGGGGACCUUCGGGCCUCAUGCCAUCAGAUGUGCCCAGAUGGGAUUAGCUAGUAGGUGGGGUAACGGCUCACCUAGGCGACGAUCCCUAGCUGGUCUGAGAGGAUGACCAGCCACACUGGAACUGAGACACGGUCCAGACUCCUACGGGAGGCAGCAGUGGGGAAUAUUGCACAAUGGGCGCAAGCCUGAUGCAGCCAUGCCGCGUGUGUGAAGAAGGCCUCGGGUUGUAAAGCACUUUCAGCGGGGAGGAAGGCGGUGGAGGUUAAUAACCUCAUCGAUUGACGUUACCCGCAGAAGAAGCACCGGCUAACUCCGUGCCAGCAGCCGCGGUAAUACGGAGGGUGCAAGCGUAAUCGGAAUUACUGGGCGUAAAGCGCACGCAGGCGGUCUGUCAAGUCGGAUGUGAAAUCCCCGGGCU
RNAcentral lists this ribosomal RNA (435 nucleotides) under Klebsiella pneumoniae. Its description in RNAcentral is "bacterial SSU rRNA". It matches the Rfam family "Bacterial small subunit ribosomal RNA", at positions 192 to 609 of the family's 1533-position model. The record is from RNAcentral. Lineage: Bacteria; Pseudomonadati; Pseudomonadota; Gammaproteobacteria; Enterobacterales; Enterobacteriaceae.